CCUACGGGAGGCAGCAGUGAGGAAUAUUGGUCAAUGGGCGGGAGCCUGAACCAGCCAAGUCGCGUGAGGGAAGAAGGUACUGAGUAUUGUAAACAUCUUUUGCCAGGGGACAAAGGCGGCCACGGGUGGCCGUAAGAGGGUACCUGGAGAAAAAGCAUAGGCUAACUCCGUGCCAGCAGCCGCGGUAAUACGGAGGAUGCGAGCGUUAUCCGGAUUUAUUGGGUUUAAAGGGUGCGCAGGCGGCGUGUCAAGUCAGCGGGAAAAUGUCGGGGCUAAACCCCGGCCGGCCUUUGAAACUGGCAUGCUCGAGUUGGUGAGAGGUAGGCGGAAUUCGUGGUGUAGCGGUGAAAUGCAUAGAUAUCUCGAAGAACCCCGAUUGCGAAGGCAGCCUACCGGCUCCACACUGACGCUGAGGCACGAAAGCGUGGGUAUCGAACAGGAUUAGAUACCCGAGUAGUC
RNAcentral lists this ribosomal RNA (459 nucleotides) under uncultured bacterium. RNAcentral's name for it is "partial 16S ribosomal RNA". It matches the Rfam family "Bacterial small subunit ribosomal RNA", at positions 338 to 795 of the family's 1533-position model. The record is from RNAcentral.